UGACAUAACCGAUUCAGGCAAUAAUGACACAUGGCUGUUGGGCGGACCGUGUAGGAUGACGGGUCAGGCACCAUCAUGUGACCCCCUCUGGCUGCCCUCAGGAUCACUCAUGGAGGGCAACCAGACACGAGGGGCCUCGUGACAGACAUACACCUGGGAAGUGCCAUUACCAGAUUUAACCAGAAUUGGAUCAAGCUUCUGCGUCAAACUCUGGUGUACUGGAAAUUCAUGGGCUGGAGGAACAGGGUAAAGGACACCAGAGGGAUGCAAGCAGCUAAAUGCAGCAAGGGGGAAACUCCAAAGGACAAGUGACCUGGUUUCUUCCCAAAAUAAAUUCCAAGGGGAAAAAAAAAAGGCGGGGAGGUGAAACUUAAAGAUUAAAAGAGCCUGAAGAGACCCAUCAACCAAGUACAACAGAAGAAGCAUGAUUAACAAAACAAUUCUUUUUAAAAAAGAUCUCUCCGACACAAGAGAAAGCACUGUUCCUGCUGAGAAAGGGCCUCGGGUGACAGCACUCUGGAAGCUGCUAACCCCCCCCGGCUCCCACCUUACAGGGCAGAGGCCCUUACCUCCGGGGUGUGCCGUCGUCGAAAGGCGGGAUGAUGACCACCUUGACGGUGACAGAGGUGCGCAGGAGGUCGAUCAUCUGAUCGUGGGUCAGCGUGACCACAGCCACCUUGCAGAUCUCCACCAGUCGGCUGCCUUGCCGGAGGCCGGCCUGCCAGGCAAACCCGUAGUCCUCCACCUCGGCCACUGUCCCAUCGUACUUCACGUGGAAGCCCAGCUGCCCAAGCCCGUUCCGCCGCAGGGUCAUGUCCACCGUCUCCCAGCCAUUGGUCAUGACCUGUAGGCAACAGGCAGUAUCUAGCCUCAGAAGAAGCUGUUUGGGGCCAGCUCUGGACGACCCCUGCACAGAUUCCCUCCUUCGGGGCCUAAGACUCUGCUGACCCCCAUCCCUCCCAGAUGACACGAGGAUAUAGAAGCAUGAACACCCAUCUAAUCCCAGCCUGGGCUCCUGACUUCUGAAGAAGAAAUGUGGAUAUGUAACCAUGUGGCUUAUUAGCUUGCAGAGACCAUGAGAGUCAUGAGCCAUGUUCUCCAAAUGCUCCUGGCCUCCCUCUUUCCCCAGCUGUCGGGGGAAUUAUACUUCCUGGCUUCCUGGGGGUGGGCUCUGGGACGUGUUUUGGUCAAUGAGUUGUGAGUGGAAAUCUAGGUCAUGUCAUCUAGGCUGGGGCAUUUAAUUGCUGGUGCCAGACCCUCCAUAGGCCUUUUCCCUCUGCUACAUCUCCUGGGGUCCCAGAGUGAAAACAAUGUGGAACAGAGACUCUUGCUGAACGUAAGAUGGACAUGUAGUGUGGGCAACAGCUAAAUUUUUGUUGUUUUAAGCCACUAAUAUUUUAUCCUGACCCGAUGACUCUAAGCAAAGUAGGCUAGAGAAGCAGCAGACCAGAGAUCCUGGGAUCCUUUCUGGUUGGGGGCUCGUGCCACACUUUUUACUUCACGACCUCAUUCAUAGCAGCGCAGCCCCCUCCCCGAUCUCCUCCUCAAACUGACCUCCACCCUGGAGCUGCCUAGACCACACAAGGCCUUGCUUACAUCUCACUCCCUGCUUCACCUGUGAAUGAAGUGAGUGUCACCACAAUCGAGUACUAUUCUAGAAAGGAUGACCUGCCGAAGAGAACCCCGGUCCCUCAGUGUGUCCUGAGAAAUUCCCUCCUCUUCUUGGGAGAAAAAGAUUCACUUAACAAGCCACAGCUACAGCUAUUAAACAAGUGACAUUGA
Long non-coding RNA from Canis lupus familiaris (dog), 1782 nucleotides. RefSeq lists it as uncharacterized. The transcript is spliced from 2 exons. Lineage: Eukaryota; Metazoa; Chordata; Mammalia; Carnivora; Canidae. The record is from RefSeq and is a predicted model, not a curated record.